RNAcentral lists this ribosomal RNA (468 nucleotides) under uncultured bacterium. RNAcentral's name for it is "partial 16S ribosomal RNA". It matches the Rfam family "Bacterial small subunit ribosomal RNA", at positions 28 to 507 of the family's 1533-position model. The record is from RNAcentral.
GACGAACGCUGGCGGCGUGCUUAACACAUGCAAGUCGAACGGAAAGGCCCUGCUUUUGUGGGGUGCUCGAGGGGCGAACGGGUGAGUAACACGUGAGUAACCUGCCCUUGACUUUGGGAUAACUUCAGGAAACUGGGGCUAAUACCGGAUAGGAGCUCCUGCUGCAUGGUGGGGGUUGGAAUGUUUCGGCGGUUGGGGAUGGACGCGCGGCUUACCGGCUUGUUGGGGGGGUAGUGGCUUACCAAGGCUUUGACGGGUAGCCGGCCUGAGAGGGUGACCGGCCACUUUGGGACUGAGAUACGGCCCAGACUCCUACGGGAGGCAGCAGUGGGGAAUAUUGCACAAUGGGCGGAAGCCUGAUGCAGCAACGCCGCGUGCGGGAUAACGGCCUUCGGGUUGUAAACCGCUUUCGCCUGUGACGAGGCGUGAGUGACGGUAAUGGGUGAAGAAGCACCGGCUAACUACGUG